CUCUCGUCUGUGUGGCGAGUUUUUUCUCUCGUCUGUGUGGUGAGAUUUCCUUCUGAGUAUGGACUCUUUAUUUUCUCGACUAAACCUUGAUGACGAUAAAGAGGCAUCGCUCAUCUUCAAUCAUGUGAUGAUGGAGAUCCCUUCUGCUUUCAAUGAAUUUACUAUGGUUGCUCGAUUAACAGAUAGGUCUGUUAAUUUUGGUGCCUUGCGUUCCAUUUUAUCUGCUGUAUGGUGACUGGGACAUGGAGUUUUUAUGCAGGAGUUGUAGUAGAACAGAUACUUAAUUCAGUUUUUCCACCAAGUCAUUCUCAAGAGGAUUGUGAAUGGAGGUCCAUGGUCAUUUUACAAUCACCUACUGGUUAUGCAUCAUCUUCAACCUGAGAUUAUUGCUCUAAGAGGAUGAGGUGUUUGGCUUCGUGCUUUAUCGAGACGCAAUAACUCGUUAGGGAAUUAAUGGUUGCAAGAUCGCAGUGGGGCUCCUUUGUCUACCACUCCAUCGAUGCAUUCCAAUGUGUUUGAUAAGCAAGGGGAGUAGCUUAAUUCAACCGAUGAUCAAUAUGAGGAUUUUAUGGCUAUUGGAUAAAAUGUAGAGUAAUUUAGCUGAUGGGUUGCCCAUCAGUUGCGAUAAAAGUAAAAAGAGGCAGCAUAUUGAUUUUUUAAGAACAAAGUUUGCGAGCUCUUCUUUGUAUAAGCUCCCUUCUUUGAACAUUUGCAAUGUACUUGAGAUUGAUGAAAUGAGUAUACUUGGAUUCCAGGCCUGCCGAGAGC
Long non-coding RNA from Manihot esculenta (cassava), 768 nucleotides. RefSeq lists it as uncharacterized. The record is from RefSeq and is a predicted model, not a curated record. NCBI's taxonomy places the organism in Eukaryota, Viridiplantae, Streptophyta, Magnoliopsida, Malpighiales, Euphorbiaceae. The transcript has 2 exons.